Molecule: ribosomal RNA, 495 nt
Filed under: uncultured soil bacterium
Lineage: Bacteria
Description: bacterial SSU rRNA
Rfam family: Bacterial small subunit ribosomal RNA
Source: RNAcentral
AGAACGAACGUUAGCGGUGUGGUUUAGGCAUGCAAGUCGCGCGCGAAAGUCUUCGGACGAGUAAAGCGGCGAAAGGGUGAGUAACACGUAAUCAAUCUAUCCUUGAGACUGGAAUAACCACUGGAAACGGUGGGUAAUGCCAGAUGGUCCUCGUCGAAGGCAUCUUCGGCUUGGUAAACGGUGGCGUAAGCUGCUGCUCUUGGAGGAGGUUGCGGGCUAUCAGCUAGUUGGUGAGGUAAUGGCUCACCAAGGCUAUGACGGCUACCGGGUCUGAGAGGACGGUCCGGCACACUGGGACUGAGACACUGCCCAGACUCCUACGGGAGGCUGCAGUCGAGAAUCUUCCGCAAUGGGCGAAAGCCUGACGGAGCGACACCGCGUGCAGGAUGAAGGCCCUCGGUUGUAAACUGCUGUCAGGUUCUAGGAAUCGCCUCACGUUAAUAGCGUGAGGUUUGACCAAGACCAAAGGAAGCAACGGCUAACUCUGUGCCAGCA